Lipomyces mesembrius is the source of this 99-nucleotide non-coding RNA. The record is from the annotation of a GenBank genome assembly. Lineage: Eukaryota; Fungi; Ascomycota; Lipomycetes; Lipomycetales; Lipomycetaceae.
GUCCCGGUGGCCGAGUGGUUAAGGCGACGCCCUGCUAUUAUAUCAUUGUAGUUUAGGCGUUGGGUUCUGCCCGCGCAAGUUCGAAUCUUGUCCGUGACG